Molecule: long non-coding RNA, 340 nt
Organism: Pecten maximus
Lineage: Eukaryota; Metazoa; Mollusca; Bivalvia; Pectinida; Pectinidae
Exons: 3
Source: RefSeq, a predicted model, not a curated record
GUUGGUACUGUCGGACGUGUGUGAUAUGUGUAAUACGUAGGUCAGCACACCUUACAUCGUUUGCCAAUUAUUUGUUACACAAGUUCCGAUGUACGCGUUGUCUCCCCGGGAGUCGGGCCCUCUUCGUUUGUGAAGAGAGUUUCUUACGGAUGUAAUAAACGUUUGAAUGGAAAGAUUGUGUUGGAGUGUUUCAUGCAAAGACCCAGAGUAGACCCUGCUACACAGAUAUAGCCAAAGUUAAAAGAAAUAAACAAAAACAAACAACAGUGAAAAACUUCUUUAAACCAUAAUAACUUCCUUUGUAAGAAACUGUGAAAACAUGAAAAUCUUUUGAAAUUGU